Molecule: unclassified non-coding RNA, 429 nt
Filed under: soil metagenome
Description: partial internal transcribed spacer 1
Source: RNAcentral
AUGAAUUGGGAUUGCCCCAGAGGUCCUCUCACUCCCAGCUGUCCUUGAGACGGUGCCGCGCAGGUUUCAAUUAGAUCGUUCGCUCUUCAAACUCUCUUUUCUUUUUGAGAAUUUUGAAAGUUCAUUCGUUCGUUCGUGCUUCUACUUUGAUCACUCUGCAACUUUAAAGUUUUAAAAAUCCCUGCUGGUGGUAUCGUCAAGGGGCCUUUUGGAAGUGGGAACUUUUGGGGACAACAAAACCUUUUGUGAACUGUCCUGUCUCUGGCGGCGGGGUGGGGUUCAAGUGGGACGGGCAGAAUGGCCUCGUCCUUACCCACCUGUCAGCUUGGGGGCGCAUUGGGGCUCGCUCGCCGUGGACAAACCGCCAAAAAAUCUAAAACCUGUCGUACCUUCCCAGUCUUACUUGAAUCUGUCCUUUAAAUACAGAAA